RNAcentral lists this long non-coding RNA (392 nucleotides) under Homo sapiens (human). RNAcentral's name for it is "long intergenic non-protein coding RNA 1033". The record is from RNAcentral. Lineage: Eukaryota; Metazoa; Chordata; Mammalia; Primates; Hominidae.
GCUUGCUGGCAACCAUGUGAGAUGGGACUUUCUCCUCCUUGACUUUCGCCAUGAUUGUGAGGCCUUCCCAGCCAUGUGGAACUCUUCUUUCGUGGCAAUUUUCCCCCAGGAGGGAUUUCCCUGCAGUGGACCUCCUCCCCAGUGGUACCUUCAGCCAUCAGAACACCUCGCUUUAGAUCUGUGGGUCCCAAAUUUCAUCAAAUCCAAUGACCAUUUCUAUGCUGGAAUUCUGUGAAGCACAUGACCUCAAGUCUUUGGAUAAAUGGAAACGCAGCUUAUGCCGGAAAGAUGGAAGGCUGGCUGUACUAAUAUCAGAAAUGGAAGAGGAGAGACAUCACUAGAGAUCCCAUGGAUAUUGAAAGGAUAAUAAAGGAGUAUUAUGAGCAUUGUUA